AGUGAACGCUGGCGGUAGGCCUAACACAUGCAAGUCGAACGGCAGCACAGUAAGAGCUUGCUCUUACGGGUGGCGAGUGGCGGACGGGUGAGGAAUACAUCGGAAUCUACUUUUUCGUGGGGGGUAACGUAGGGAAACUUACGCUAAUACCGCAUACGACCUACGGGUGAAAGCAGGGGAUCUUCGGACCUUGCGCGAUUGAAUGAGCCGAUGUCGGAUUAGCUAGUUGGCGGGGUAAAGGCCCACCAAGGCGACGAUCCGUAGCUGUCUGAGAGGAUGAUCAGCCACACUGGAACUGAGACACGGUCCAGACUCCUACGGGAGGCAGCAGUGGGGAAUAUUGGACAAUGGGCGCAAGCCUGAUCCAGCCAUACCGCGUGGGUGAAGAAGGCCUUCGGGUUGUAAAGCCCUUUUGUUGGGAAAGAAAAGCAGCAGGUUAAUACCCCGCUGUUCUGACGGUACCCAAAGAAUAAGCACCGGCUAACUUCGUG
Molecule: ribosomal RNA, 491 nt
Filed under: uncultured bacterium
Lineage: Bacteria
Description: partial 16S ribosomal RNA
Rfam family: Bacterial small subunit ribosomal RNA
Source: RNAcentral